Molecule: long non-coding RNA, 540 nt
Filed under: Cicer arietinum (chickpea)
Lineage: Eukaryota; Viridiplantae; Streptophyta; Magnoliopsida; Fabales; Fabaceae
Description: long non-coding RNA (CARI_LNC001378)
Source: RNAcentral
AAAAUGCAGAUUUUCAGUUCUAAUAUGGCUUGGAUCAAUCAACACUUCAAACAAUAAUAUUAUCAAUUAUGAACAGAUAAUUAACACCAAAUUAAUCUCCACAAAUUCACACCUCAAUUACACAUCGAAUAUUCAUAACAUCAAUUAUGAACACAUAAGUACAUCAAAACUUAAUCAACCCAACUGCACACCUCUAAGCAAUUACGACAAAUCAAAACAACAACCGAAUAUGUAUAUACAAUCAUCAUAGUAUAACAAACACGACUCGCGUGUCAAGCACCCUAAUGCAAUGCGUAUAUGCCAAAAUGCAUGAAUCGAGAAUUCCAAACCAAAACCCUCCUCGAAGGGCGCAAAUCAUAAUUGUACAGCCUCUCACAGACCAAUACUAAUUACCAAGGUGCAAUCUCUCACGGAUCAACACGAUUUACUAGCGUGCAGUCUCUCACAGACCAGCACGACAAACAAGAGUGCAAUCGCUCACAUACCAGCACAUUCUAGGAGUGCAAUCUCUCACAGAUCAGCACGACGCGACAAUCCCCG